UAAGCGGAGGAGAAGAAAGUAACAACGAUUCCCCUCGUAACGGCGAGUGAUGAGGGCAAUCAUUCAUUUUUUCUGUUUCUUCUGUUUCCUAUUCCUAUGUCUAUUUUAUUUUUCUGUUAUUUUCCAUUAUUUCUGUUUUCUAUCCCAAAUGAAUAAUUCUCGGCGAGGGAGAGAUGCUUACCAAGGGG
Molecule: ribosomal RNA, 188 nt
Filed under: uncultured eukaryote
Lineage: Eukaryota
Description: partial Eukaryotic large subunit ribosomal RNA
Source: RNAcentral